UACAGAGGUGGCUAGCGUUGUUCGGAUUUAUUGGGCGUAAAGGGUCCGUAGGCGGUUCGGAAAGUCGGAUGUGAAAUCCCACAGCUCAACUGUGGAACUGCAUUCGAAACUUCCGGACUUGAGUGUGAGAGGGGUAAAGGGAAUUCCCGGUGUAAGGGUGAAAUCUGCAGAGAUCGGGAGGAACACCAGUCGCGAAGGCGCUUUACUGGCUCACUACUGACGCUCAGGGACGAAAGCUAGGGGAGCAAACGGGAUUAGAACCGUACCGC
Molecule: ribosomal RNA, 269 nt
Filed under: uncultured bacterium
Lineage: Bacteria
Description: partial 16S ribosomal RNA
Rfam family: Bacterial small subunit ribosomal RNA
Source: RNAcentral